Molecule: ribosomal RNA, 423 nt
Filed under: uncultured bacterium
Lineage: Bacteria
Description: partial 16S ribosomal RNA
Rfam family: Bacterial small subunit ribosomal RNA
Source: RNAcentral
AUAUUGGACAAUGGGCGAAAGCCUAAGCCAGCCAUGCCGCUGGUGUGCAGAAGUCCUCCGGUUUUAAACGCACUUUAAGGUGUGAGGAAGGGCAGUAAGUUAAUACCUUGAUGUUUUGACGAUACUGUCCGAAUAAGCACAGGCUAGCUUCGUGCCAGCAGCCGCGGUAAUAUGAAGGGUGCAAGCGUUAAUCGGACUUACUGGGCGUAAAGCGCGCGUAGGUGGUUCGUUAAGUUGGAUGUGAAAGCCCCGGGCUCAACCUGGGAACUGCAUCCAAAACUGGCGAGCUAGAGUAAGGUAGAGGGUAGUGGAAUUUCCUGUGUAGCGGUGAAAUGCGUAGGUAUAGGAAGGAACACCAGUGGCGAAGGCGACCACCUGGACUGAUACUGACACUGAGGUGCGAAAGCGUGGGGAGCAAACAGG